RNAcentral lists this long non-coding RNA (2703 nucleotides) under Salmo salar (Atlantic salmon). RNAcentral describes it as "lncRNA (ENSSSAG00000118441.1)". The record is from RNAcentral. Lineage: Eukaryota; Metazoa; Chordata; Actinopteri; Salmoniformes; Salmonidae.
ACUAGAUAAAGCAACAGGACCAAGACUAGAUAAAACAACAGGACCUAGACUAGAUAAAGCAACAGGUGCUAGACUAGAUAAAGCAACAGGACCUAGACUAGAUAAAGCAACAGGACCAAGACUAGAUAAAGCAACAGGACCUAGACUAGAUAAAGCAACAGGACCAAGACUAGAUAAAGCAACAGGACCAAGACUAGAUAAAGCAACAGGACCUAGACUAGAUAAAGCAACAGGACCUAGACUAGAUAAAGCAACAGGACCUAGACUAGAUAAAGCAACAGGACCAAGACUAAAUAAAGCAACAGGACCAAGACUAGAUAAAGCAACAGGUGCUAAAAUGGACUUCAUAUGAACUAGACAAAGCAUGCCAUAUCUGUACAUUCACUCACAUAGCUGCAUUCUGGUUGUUUUGGUGACUGUGGACAUUCAAACCAUCUAAGCAAACUGUAUCUGUAGGUUUAGGUUAUUGUACUAGGGUGGGUUUGCCCUUCUUUGAAAUAUGAAAUGAAAAACCCAGGACUAAUAUUGACAAUUCAUGUAUCCCAAAUGGCACCCUAUUCCUUGGACAGUGCACUACUUCUGACCAGAGCUCUAUGGGUCGUGGUAAAAAGUAGUGCACUACAUAGGGAGUAGGGUGUCAUUUAGUGCGCAAACAAUAUUCUUUCAUAGUGGAUGUAACCUACCAUGUAUAAUACAACAAUGGGACCAGCUAGACUGAACGUGUGCUGCAAAACACAUACAGUAAUUACACAUGGAGAUUUUACUUUUUAAAUGGUGUUGUUUAGAUAAAAGAAACAAUCCAUACAUUAUAUAUUGUAUUGUAUUUUGCAAAGUGUUUGAAAUAUAAUGAUAUGUUUUUUUUUAUUGUUAAAUAUUAUAAUGUCAAGUGUAACAUCAGUGGUGAAAAAAAAAAAUAUCAACAUCAUAUCAAGUUUGACAUAAAAAUGAAUAUUUUUUUGCCACAAUCCAGUAUUCACUUUCCAUGAAACCUCACGUCAUUUAGAAUGUCAAGGAUGGUUUCCCAAUAUUCUGUUUAUACGAGUUGAUGACAGACAAUCAGAUAAAGAAGUCCCUAGAGCUCACUACUAGCCUCCAAGGCCAGGGCCCCAUUCCAAACCAAACACUCACAUCCUAUCCCUGGGUCCUAGUUGGGCCUUGUUCCAAAACCAAACCCUCACACCCUAUCUCUGGGUCCUAGUUGACUUCCCCUCAUGGCUUUUGAAUGACAGGUCAUUGUAGGUCAAGUAAUUUAUACUGAACAAAAAUCUAAAUGUAACAUGCAACAAUUAAAAAUAUUUUUCUGAGUUACAGUUCAUGUAAGGAAAUCAGUCAAUUGAAAUAAAUGUAUUAGGUCCUAAUCUAUGGAUUUCACAUGACUGGGCAGGGGCGCAGCCAUGGGUGGGCCUGGGAAGGCAUAAGCCCACCCACUGGGGAGCCAAGCUCACCCACUGGGGAGCCAAGUCCAGCCAAUCAGAAUGAGUUUAUCCCCAUAAAAGGGCUUUAAUACAGACAGAAAUACUCCUCAGUUUCAUCAGCUGUCCGGGUGACUGGUCUCAGAGGAUCCCGCAGGUGACGAAGAAGCCAGAUGUGGAGGUCCUGGGCUGGCAUGGUUACACAUGGUCUGCGGUUGAGAGGCUGGUGGGACAUACUGCCAAAUUCUCUAAAAUGAUGUUUGUCGGCGGCUUAUGGUAGAGAACUGAACAUGAAAUCUCUGGCAACAGCUCUGGCGGACAUUCCUGCAGUCAGCAUGCUCCCUCAAAACUUGUGUUGUGUGACAAAACUGCACAUUUUAGAGUGGCCUUUUAUUGUCCCCAGCACAAGGUGCAUCUGUGUAAUGAUCAUGCUGAUUCAUUAUCUUCUUGAUAUGCCACACCUGUCAGGAGGAUGGAUUAUCUUGAUAAAUGAUAAAAAUGUUCACUAACAGGGAUGUAAACAAAUUUGUGCACACAAUUUGAGAGACAUACUCUUUUUGUGCAUAUGGAAAAUGUUAUUUUAUUUCAGCUGGAUGGAACACUUUACAUGUUACGUUUAUAUUUUUGUUCAGUAUAAGUGAAACUCCAGGUGUUUUUCCCCAAUCACAUGUCCUGACUAGAAAAUAACUUUGGUUCCUAAUUAAUUAGUUCACUUAUUUUUCUGGACAGGUAACAGGGUCCAGACAAAGUCAUCCAACCCUUUUCGAUUAGCUAAAAUGGAAGUAAAAAAGGAUGUGGAGAGGAGGGCCAGGAAAUACUUACCCAAGACCAUAAAUGACAGGAAACUGUUUUAGUGCCUGCAGAUGUACAUAUUUGAUAUACUGUCAGUGAAAGCUGUCUACUUUCUUUUAACUGAACCUUUAUUCAUUCAGGCGAGUCAAUUAAGAACGAAAUCUUAUUUACAAUGACGACCUGGUAGCCACAACAGUAUGGAUUGUUUGAAAGUAGUUUUGAUAUAUAAAGAUUAAGCUGAGAAUGUAUAUGGUUCAUAUUCAUUAAAAAAUACAAAUAAAGAAUACUUUCUUGUUUGUUUGAGUGACAGGGAGGUUGAGAGAAUGCAUGAGAGAAAUGGUAUCCUUCCAUGCUUGUUUAGAGGGGUGUGUGUGUGUGUGCCUGUCUUGUAUGGGGUGUGUCUCUAGUUUCCCUGGGUAUUUGAUGGUGUGUACCUGCCAAGCUCUCUCAGUGGACACAGUGGAAUGUGCUGGGAAGAUCAGAGUGCUCCAACCCAGAC